This 343-nucleotide ribosomal RNA is filed under the name uncultured bacterium. RNAcentral's name for it is "bacterial SSU rRNA". It matches the Rfam family "Bacterial small subunit ribosomal RNA", at positions 8 to 334 of the family's 1533-position model. The record is from RNAcentral.
AGAGUUUGAUUCUGGCUCAGGACGAACGCUGGCGGCGUGCUUAACACAUGCAAGUCGAACGGGGUCUUAGAGAGGAAAGCUUCGGCAGGAAUCUUUAAGAUCUAGUGGCGAACGGGUGAGUAACGCGUGAGGAACCUGCCUCAAACAGGGGGAUAACACUUGGAAACAGGUGCUAAUACCGCAUAAGACCACAGGAUCGCAUGGUCCAGGGGUCAAAGCUCCGGCGGUUUGAGAUGGCCUCGCGUCCCAUUAGGUAGUUGGUGAGGCAACGGCUCACCAAGCCGACGAUGGGUAGCCGAGCUGAGAGGCUGAUCGGCCACACUGGGACUGAGACACGGCCCAG